GGGGGCGUAGCUUAAUGGCAAAGUAAUAGUCUUAUGAUCUAUUGAUCCGGGUUCGAUUCCCGGCGCCUCCA
Cloeon dipterum is the source of this 71-nucleotide non-coding RNA. The record is from the annotation of a RefSeq genome assembly. Lineage: Eukaryota; Metazoa; Arthropoda; Insecta; Ephemeroptera; Baetidae.